AGCAUAAUGGUGUAAUAGGAAAAACAUAAUAGCCUCAUGAGCUGUAGAUUCAUGUUCAAAUCGUGAUUGUGCAC
RNAcentral lists this transfer RNA (74 nucleotides) under Brettanomyces custersianus. Its description in RNAcentral is "tRNA-Met". It matches the Rfam family "tRNA". From Rfam's summary of the family: Transfer RNA (tRNA) molecules are approximately 80 nucleotides in length. Their secondary structure includes four short double-helical elements and three loops (D, anti-codon, and T loops). Further hydrogen bonds mediate the characteristic L-shaped molecular structure. tRNAs have two regions of fundamental functional importance: the anti-codon, which is responsible for specific mRNA codon recognition, and the 3' end, to which the tRNAs corresponding amino acid is attached (by aminoacyl-tRNA synthetases). tRNAs cope with the degeneracy of the genetic code in two manners: having more than one tRNA (with a specific anti-codon) for a particular amino acid; and 'wobble' base-pairing, i.e. permitting non-standard base-pairing at the 3rd anti-codon position. The record is from RNAcentral. Lineage: Eukaryota; Fungi; Ascomycota; Pichiomycetes; Pichiales; Pichiaceae.